CUACUACUCCCUCCGUUCGGAAUUACUUGUCUCGAAAAUGGAUGUAUCUAAAACUAAAAUAUAGUUUUAGAUACAUCCAUUUUCGAGACAAGUAAUUCCGAACGGAGGGAGUAUAUA
Non-coding RNA from Triticum aestivum (bread wheat), 117 nucleotides. The record is from Rfam. NCBI's taxonomy places the organism in Eukaryota, Viridiplantae, Streptophyta, Magnoliopsida, Poales, Poaceae.